AUGAGACGUCGCCAUGGCGUUUUCGUCGCGAUUCGCGUUCUGGGAGCAAAAGGGAAGUCUCGGCCGCGCUUGCCCGCACCCCGCGGCGCCCACCCCGGUUCGGUGCCAAAACCCGCCGCGGCAAGAGCGAGGGGCUCCCGGGCCCGGGCACCGUCCUCGCACCCCGCCAGCAAACCAGCAGCUGCCCCCCACUGCCUCUGCUUGGCCGCGGUCGCUGCCGCUGGCUCCGCGCGGGGCUUGUGCACCUCCUACCGCGGCGCCAGGCACCUCGGGCACCCAACCCCCGCGGCGGUGCUGGCCUCGCCGGGGCCGCCGGCCCGAGCAGCCCCCCCGGGAGCGGUGCUGUGCGGGAUGGACGGUGCCCACGGUCCGUGGCGCGUUGCUGGAGCCCCUCGGCGUGGCUUYGCAGCGUCCUGCAGCUUUGCGGGGGGCGGCGAGGCCGAGCCGGCGGCCGGAGCAUGCCGGGGCCGGCUGCUGCAGAGAUUAGCCGGUGACGCUCGCGUUGGGAUCGGGUGCCUCGCGGGGAAGGACAGGGACAGCUUGCUGYGGCCAGCUCACUUUCCCGAUCCGCGCACCUUGCCGUUGGCUCGUUGGCUCGCUGCCGCGUUGAGCUCAGCUGUCAGAGCUAACUUGGGCAGCGUGCAAAAGGCAGGACCCUCCCGGGAGCAGCCGAGAGGCUUUAUUUACCCACUCGGUCACCAGCUGCAAAUGCAGCCCCUCCUGCCGCGGGGAGCUGCUGGGCGCCCGGGACACGCGGCCCGAGCCCUCUGCUCCCGACCCGGGCGGCACGGUGCUUUCCCCGCGGCCUGGCAGGAAUUGCAGGGAUGUCGCUCCGCGCCGGGCCCCGUGGGUGCCCCGCUGGGCGCCGCGCACGUUUGCGUUCCCAUCCUCGGGCCGGACCCAGACCUUGCGCUCAGCAGCAGGCUGCRGAUUUGGGCCGCGAACCUCAUGCGAAAGCUUCCUAGGGCGGGUUUCCCUCCGGGAGCCCCGGGCACGGCUGCUCCUCGUCCCGAAGCACGGAGACCCACGGUCUCCGCAGCUUUUCCCCCAGCGCCUCGCCUGCUAGUGCGGCUCCUGGGCUAA
RNAcentral lists this long non-coding RNA (1083 nucleotides) under Apteryx haastii (Great spotted kiwi). RNAcentral's name for it is "lncRNA (ENSAHAG00000014548.1)". The record is from RNAcentral. Lineage: Eukaryota; Metazoa; Chordata; Aves; Apterygiformes; Apterygidae.